Molecule: ribosomal RNA, 496 nt
Filed under: uncultured bacterium
Lineage: Bacteria
Description: partial 16S ribosomal RNA
Rfam family: Bacterial small subunit ribosomal RNA
Source: RNAcentral
GAUGAACGCUAGCUGGAGGCUUAAUACAUGCAAGUCGAGCGGGAUUGGGUAGCAAUACCCAUGAGAGCGGCGCACGGGUGAGUAACACGUACACGACCUACCUCUAACAGGGGGAUAGCCCUGGGAAACUGGGAUUAAUACCGCAUAUAAUUCUGAAUAAUAAAGGUUUGGAAUGAAAGCUGAGGCGGUUAGAGAUGGGUGUGCGUCUGAUUAGCUAGUUGGUAGGGUAACGGCCUACCAAGGCGAUGACCAGUAGGGGGCGUGAGAGCGUGGUCCCCCACACGGGUACUGAGACACGGACCCGACUCCUACGGGAGGCAGCAGUAAGGAAUAUUGGUCAAUGGGCGAAAGCCUGAACCAGCCAUCCAGCGUGCAGGAAGAAGGCCCUAUGGGUUGUAAACUGCUUUUAUCAGGGAAGAAACCUCUGGAUUUACUCCGGAGCUGACGGUACCUGAAGAAUAAGCACCGGCUAACUCCGUGCCAGCCGCCGCCGUAA